This 523-nucleotide ribosomal RNA is filed under the name Paracalynda utilaensis. RNAcentral describes it as "partial 16S ribosomal RNA". It matches the Rfam family "Bacterial large subunit ribosomal RNA", at positions 1810 to 2608 of the family's 2925-position model. The record is from RNAcentral. Lineage: Eukaryota; Metazoa; Arthropoda; Insecta; Phasmatodea; Diapheromeridae.
AAAACAUCUUUUCCUGUAGAUUUUAUGAAAUUUGUCCUGCCCAAUGAUUAUUUUAAUGGCCGCGGUAUUUUGACCGUGCAAAGGUAGCAUAAUCACUAGUUUAUUAAUUGUAAGCUUGAAUGAAUGGUUUGACGAAAUAUUGACUGUCUCAUUGUUAUUUUUAGAAUUUGAAUUUUGAGUUAAAAUGCUUAAAUUUUUUUGUUGGACGAGAAGACCCUAUAGAUCUUUAAUAGUUAAUUUUAUCUAUAUUUUGGUUUGUUUAAGUUAUAUGAGGUUUAUUAUUUUUGUUGGGGUGACAUAAGGAUAUAAUUAACUCUUAUUAUUAAUUUACAUUAUUAUAUGAUUAUAUGACCUAUUAAUAUUGUUUAUAAGAUAUAGAUACCUUAGGGAUAACAGCGUAAUCUUCUUUGAGAGUUCAUAUUGACAAGAAGGUUUGCGACCUCGAUGUUGGAUUAAGAUUAUACUUGGGUGUAGAAGUUCAAGUGGUAGGUCUGUUCGACCUUUGAAAUCUUACAUGAUCUGA